Molecule: transfer RNA, 68 nt
Filed under: Dallia pectoralis (Alaska blackfish)
Lineage: Eukaryota; Metazoa; Chordata; Actinopteri; Esociformes; Umbridae
Description: tRNA-OTHER
Source: RNAcentral
GUUGGUGUAGCUCAGUGGUAGAGUGCUUUGUAUGUAAGAUGUCCUGGGUUCAUUCCCCAGCCUCUCUU